GGAAUUACUGUUUAUUAAAUAAUUCAUUUAAAUUACUUUACUUUCAAUCUUUGCUUUUUGUUUCUGUACUGCGCCAGUACUCCUGUGAACCAUGUCUCAGUGGAGUAAUGAUGGCACCACAGUCCGGCCUGCAUGGCUGUUGGCAUGCGUGCUCCCUCCUCGUGCAGCCAUGGAGAAUGGCUUCAUGAAAUUCAGCCACCUCUUUCUCCAGACUGUCAGUUCCAUCUUCUCAACUCUGAGGGUCUUCCAGAGUCCGUGCCACACCACAGCCUGGAAACUCUCCCCAAGCAGUAACCUGAGGCAACAGUAGCCCUCAUUGUUUCACGUCUCUCAGAUGUCACUGUCCUUCAUUGUUUGAUGUGCGCUGUCUUGCAAUCCAUCCUUCCAGAUAAAUCGUCCAUUUUUACCUGUGAUAAGCCAUGUCCAAUUGCCAUAAGUUUUUCCACAACAUUUUGUUUCAUUCUUCCUGCAAUUACGCAAUCAUUACUGUACCACCGCCUAUAUGGAUAUACUUGUCAAUGUGAAGCUGAGUAAGGAACAACGUUCACCAAACUCACAGACAAAGAUGGACAAGCGAGCAGGCCUUUGUAUCACUAAAGGGAAGCUCAGAUUGGGUUUCAUAUAAAUCAUCAGUGAAGUCUUCUCAACCAGGUCAAUCACGAGAACUUAGAAGAUGAUUCCUCCCCAGCUGAUCCUCAGGUGAGACCUCAGCCUUGGCCAUCAUCUACAUCUGAAUUCCUGACUCAGAGAAACUGGAACGCUAAAGCCCAUUCUUCUUCUCAAGUAUUCAAAAACAAAGUUGAUCCAAGUAACAAGUGGACAGCAUAAAAGAUUGUAUGGAAACUAUAAUGCAUCUACAUCUGCAGUAACUAAUCAUAAAAUGAUUUGUAUGAUCAUUCUUCACAUGAUUAGAAUGACUAUGGGAAAGAAGAAAAAGAAGUGCAACUUUCUUGAUUUAAAAAUUGUAUCCGUGCAAGUGUGGUGGCACACACCUGUAGUCAGUCCCAGCUGCUAGGGUGGGUGGGUAGGAUGAACAUGUGGUACCAGG
RNAcentral lists this long non-coding RNA (1048 nucleotides) under Homo sapiens (human). RNAcentral describes it as "HSALNT0379869". The record is from RNAcentral. Lineage: Eukaryota; Metazoa; Chordata; Mammalia; Primates; Hominidae.